UACGAAGGGUGCAAGCGUUAAUCGGAAUUACUGGGCGUAAAGCGUGCGUAGGCGGUUUGUCGCGUCUGCCGUGAAAGUCCGGGGCUCAACUCCGGAUCUGCGGUGGGUACGGGCAGACUAGAGUGAUGUAGGGGAGACUGGAAUUCCUGGUGUAGCGGUGAAAUGCGCAGAUAUCAGGAGGAACACCGAUGGCGAAGGCAGGUCUCUGGGCAGUAACUGACGCUGAGGAGCGAAAGCAUGGGGAGCGAACAGGA
Molecule: ribosomal RNA, 254 nt
Filed under: uncultured bacterium
Lineage: Bacteria
Description: partial 16S ribosomal RNA
Rfam family: Bacterial small subunit ribosomal RNA
Source: RNAcentral